UUCAGCUGCUGUGCACCUGCUAGCCCUGAUGUAAAAAAUACUGUGCAAAUUCUUCUGACCUGAAGAACUCCUUCCAAGAGGAACAGCCUACCCAUAUGGAGAUGCAAGCUCUACAUAUUCAAUGUGAUUUGGAGCUGUCCUUCUCUGAGGCCCAUCUCAUAUGACUCACACAGAUCCCUUGCAUCCAGCGGCUCCAGCACUUUACAGCUCUACAAUAAAUCAUCCAGUCUUUGUGCCUUUGUCCUCCAGUCCUGUGCACUCCAUGGAUCUGAUAUUUAUAGCUGUCUGGCAAUGCACAUACACGCACCAUCUUAUGUAUUUCCACAAUUUCACUACUUUAAAACAGGAGCGUGAGCCCUCUCAUUUUGUUCUCUCAUAUCUUUGGCAGAAAUGGGGCUUCAUCCAAAGGCAUUUUGAAAUAGACUAUCUAUAAUUGGGAUUUCUACAGAGCUGGAAAAUGUGCUGGUGAUAGU
Vidua chalybeata is the source of this 473-nucleotide long non-coding RNA. RefSeq lists it as uncharacterized. Lineage: Eukaryota; Metazoa; Chordata; Aves; Passeriformes; Viduidae. The transcript has 4 exons. The record is from RefSeq and is a predicted model, not a curated record.